UACGAAGGGGGCUAGCGUUGCUCGGAAUUACUGGGCGUAAAGGGAGCGUAGGCGGAUAUUUAAGUUGGGGGUGAAAGCCCAGGGCUCAACCCUGGAACUGCCUUCAAUACUGGAUAUCUAGAGUAUGGGAGAGGUGUGUGGAACUCCGAGUGUAGAGGUGAAAUUCGUAGAUAUUCGGAAGAACACCAGUGGCGAAGGCGACACACUGGCCCAUUACUGACGCUGAGGCUCGAAAGCGUGGGGAGCAAACAGG
Molecule: ribosomal RNA, 253 nt
Filed under: uncultured bacterium
Lineage: Bacteria
Description: partial 16S ribosomal RNA
Rfam family: Bacterial small subunit ribosomal RNA
Source: RNAcentral